CCGGAAGCCGGGUUACGGU
RNAcentral lists this small nuclear RNA (19 nucleotides) under Arabidopsis thaliana (thale cress). RNAcentral describes it as "snRNA_11312". The record is from RNAcentral. Lineage: Eukaryota; Viridiplantae; Streptophyta; Magnoliopsida; Brassicales; Brassicaceae.